AGAGUGUUGAGGCUUUUGGCUAAGAUCAAGUGUAGUAUCUGUUCUUAUCAGUUUAAUAUCUGAUACGUCCCCUACCCGGGGACCAUAUAUUAAAUUGAUUUUUAGAGCAGGGAGAUGAAAUAGGGGCUUGCUCCGUCCACUCCACUCAUUGACCCAGUAUUGCAGUACUUCUGGGAACGGUGCACCCCCU
Molecule: small nuclear RNA, 190 nt
Filed under: Betta splendens (Siamese fighting fish)
Lineage: Eukaryota; Metazoa; Chordata; Actinopteri; Anabantiformes; Osphronemidae
Description: U2 spliceosomal RNA (ENSBSLG00000001693.1)
Rfam family: U2 spliceosomal RNA
About the family: U2 is a small nuclear RNA (snRNA) component of the spliceosome (involved in pre-mRNA splicing).
Source: Rfam by way of RNAcentral